This 77-nucleotide transfer RNA is filed under the name Clostridiales bacterium. Its description in RNAcentral is "tRNA-Val". It matches the Rfam family "tRNA". From Rfam's summary of the family: Transfer RNA (tRNA) molecules are approximately 80 nucleotides in length. Lineage: Bacteria; Bacillati; Bacillota; Clostridia; Eubacteriales. The record is from RNAcentral.
GGAGACGUAGCUCAGCUGGUUAGAGCGCUUGCUUGACAUGCAAGAGGUCAUAGGUUCGAGUCCUACCGCCUCCACCA